RNAcentral lists this long non-coding RNA (245 nucleotides) under Saimiri boliviensis boliviensis (Bolivian squirrel monkey). RNAcentral describes it as "WT1 antisense RNA conserved region 3 (ENSSBOG00000001207.1)". It matches the Rfam family "WT1 antisense RNA conserved region 3". Lineage: Eukaryota; Metazoa; Chordata; Mammalia; Primates; Cebidae. The record is from RNAcentral.
GAGGAGAAGCACCAGGAGCCCUGAGCGGAGAGUGUUUCAGAGGUGCCUGUAAACGCCCAGGGGCGCCAGGAGACAGCAGCAACUGCUCAGCGUGGGACUGCCGGGCGCACCGGAAGGGAAGCAACUGGUGCAGUCUGGCCUCCAGUACCUGGCUGGCCCGGGCUGGGGCUCCAAGCUUUCCAGCCAAACUUACGCCAAACUUACGUGAAGCAAAGUAGAUGCAGUUUGACAAAGGACGGCGUUUU